CUCAGGAUGAACGCUAGCGGCAGGCUUAAUACAUGCAAGUCGAACGGAAACAGGCGGUAGCAAUACUGCGCUGUCGAGUGGCGCACGGGUGCGUAACACGUAUGCAACCCACCCUUAACUGGGGAAUAACCCUGUGAAAGCGGGGCUAAUACCCCAUAACAUUAUGGUAAGGCAUCUUACUAUUAUCAAAGAUUUAUCGGUUAGGGAUGGGCAUGCGCCCCAUUAGUUAGUUGGUUAGGUAACGGCUAACCAAGACUGUGAUGGGUAGGGGUUCUGAGAGGAUUAUCCCCCACACUGGUACUGAGACACGGACCAGACUCCUACGGGAGGCAGCAGUAAGGAAUAUUGGGCAAUGGACGCAAGUCUGACCCAGCCAUGCCGCGUGCAGGAUGACGGCCUUAUGGGUUGUAAACUGCUUUUGUAUGGGAUUAAAGUGUUGUACGUGUACGACAUUGCAAGUACCAUACGAAUAAGCAUCGGCUAACUCCGUGCCAGCAGCCGCGGUAAUACGGAGAUGCAAGCGUUAUCCGGAAUCAUUGGGUUUAAAGGGUGCGUAGGUUGAUUAUUAAGUCAGUGGUGAAAAUUCCGGGCUCAACCGGGGACUUGCCGUUGAAACUGAUAAUCUUGAGUGUAACUGAUGUGGGCGGAAUGUGUCAAGUAGCGGUGAAAUGCAUAGAUAUGACACAGAACACCGAUAGCGAAGGCAGCUCACAAAAUUACAACUGACACUGAGGCACGAAAGCGUGGGUAUCAAACAGGAUUAGAUACCCUGGUAGUCCACGCUGUAAACGAUGAUCACUAGCUGUUUGCGAUACAUUGUAAGUGGUUAAGCGAAAGCGAUAAGUGAUCCACCUGGGGAGUACGUCGGCAACGAUGAAACUCAAAGGAAUUGACGGUGGCCCGNACAAGCGGAGGACCUGUGGUUCAUUCGAUGAUACGCGAGGAACCUUUACUGGGCUUGAACGUAUGGUGCCUGAGUGUGAAAGCACUCUUACCUU
RNAcentral lists this ribosomal RNA (998 nucleotides) under uncultured organism. RNAcentral's name for it is "bacterial SSU rRNA". It matches the Rfam family "Bacterial small subunit ribosomal RNA", at positions 23 to 1019 of the family's 1533-position model. The record is from RNAcentral.